GAUGAAGAACGUAGCGAAAUGCGAUAAGUAAUGUGAAUUGCAGAAUUCAGUGAAUCAUCGAAUCUUUGAACGCACAUUGCGCCCGCCAGUAUUCUGGCGGGCAUGCCUGUUCGAGCGUCAUUUCAACCCUCAAGCCCCAGCGGCCUGGUGUUGGGGACCGGCGACCUCGCCCGAGCCCGCCCUCCGGGGCGCGUGCCCGUUGCGUCCGCCGCCCCCGAAAUGAAUUGGCGGCCUCGUCGCGGCCUCCUCUGCGUAGUAGCACAACCUCGCAAGCGGGAGCGCGACGCGGCCACUGCCGUAAAACGCCCAACUUUUUUAGAGUUGACCUCGGAUCAGGUAGGAAUACCCGCUGAACUUAAGCAUAUCAAUAAGCGGAGGA
RNAcentral lists this unclassified non-coding RNA (379 nucleotides) under soil metagenome. RNAcentral's name for it is "partial contains 5.8S ribosomal RNA, internal transcribed spacer 2, and large subunit ribosomal RNA". The stretch from base 1 to 120 matches the Rfam family "5.8S ribosomal RNA", at positions 35 to 154 of the family's 154-position model. The record is from RNAcentral.